GUGCUCGCUUCGGCAGCACAUAUACUAAAAUUGGAAUGAUACAGAGAAGAUUAGCAUGGCCCCUGUGCAAGGAAUGACACACCCAGGUGAGGUAAAAUCUAGAAGCAC
This is a small nuclear RNA of Ochotona curzoniae (black-lipped pika), 108 nucleotides long. The record is from RefSeq and is a predicted model, not a curated record. Lineage: Eukaryota; Metazoa; Chordata; Mammalia; Lagomorpha; Ochotonidae.